This 112-nucleotide ribosomal RNA is filed under the name human gut metagenome. The record is from RNAcentral.
CGGUGGCCAUAGCGAAGGGGAUCCACCUGUUCCCAUUCCGAACACAGAAGUUAAGCCCUUCAGCGCUGACAAUACUCGCUUGGAGACGAGCUGGGAAGAUAAGACGCUGCCG